GGUCUCGUGGUGUAGUGGGUAUUACAUCUGUCUGACACACAGAAGGCCGGCGAUUUGAGUCCGCCCGAGAACA
This 73-nucleotide transfer RNA is filed under the name Nippostrongylus brasiliensis. It matches the Rfam family "tRNA". Rfam says of the family: Transfer RNA (tRNA) molecules are approximately 80 nucleotides in length. The record is from Rfam by way of RNAcentral. Lineage: Eukaryota; Metazoa; Nematoda; Chromadorea; Rhabditida; Heligmosomidae.